UUUUUGGAAAGUGGCUUUUAUGGCUGGGCCACGGUAUAAUUUGCCCUGCCCAGUGAAGGCAGCUGCUGAGGAAUGCUGGGGAGGAAGAACCUGAGACAGCACCACGAUCCUGGACCUCUGGCCCAGGCUUGGCCAACCAAAACUGGCGUCAGGACUUAAGCUGGAAUGUGGAUGCCCAGGCUGGCCCUUCUCCCAGGGGCCUCCAACUUGUUUGAGUGAUGGGGGCUCCGCCGUGGAGGCUAUUUUUGUGAAAAGCUGAGAAUUCAAAAGCUCAUCUCCUCGAAAGCCUUCCUUGCCUUGGAGAAGCUGAAGAGGUACUGAAGAAGUAACAGUGAACAAACAAGACCAAAUAUCUGUCUUCAUGGACCUUACAGUCAAGUAGGGGAAGGGAAGCAAUCAACUUAAUAAAGGUUGGGCACAGUGGUUCAUGCCUGUAAUCCCAGCACUUUCAGGAGGCCAAAGUGGGAAGACUGCUUGAGGCUAGGAGUUCAAGACCAGCCUGGGCAACAAAAUGGCAGGGCGCAAGGACAGGAGCCUGGAAACCUGUACCGGGGCUGCUGCGAAGGCCCGGGGAAGAUUGAGGGUGGCUGGAACCCAAAAAUGGCAGCGGAGCUGAUGGAGAAAGGUCAGAUUCGGGAUGCAUUUUGGAGACAGCAGCAACAGGAUUUGCUCAAGGGAUUCACAUGGAGUGUGAGAGACGAAGAGUGGAGAAUGAUUCUGAGGCUUGGACCUGAGCAAUGAACAGUGAAGUCAUUUUCUAAGACAGGGAAGAGGCUGGGCCAAGUGGGUCACGCCGAUAAUCCCAGCACUUUGGGAGGCUGAGGCAGGAGGAUUGCUUGAGCUCAGGAGUUCAAGACCAGCUUGGGCAACACAGCGAGACCUCAUUUCUAAAAA
Chlorocebus sabaeus (green monkey) is the source of this 894-nucleotide non-coding RNA. The record is from RefSeq and is a predicted model, not a curated record. Lineage: Eukaryota; Metazoa; Chordata; Mammalia; Primates; Cercopithecidae.